GCCUCCGUAGCUCAGGGGAUAGAGCAUCAGUUUCCGGUACUGAGGGUCGCAGGUUCGAAUCCUGUCGGGGGCGCGA
RNAcentral lists this transfer RNA (76 nucleotides) under Microcella alkaliphila. Its description in RNAcentral is "tRNA-Arg". It matches the Rfam family "tRNA". Rfam says of the family: Transfer RNA (tRNA) molecules are approximately 80 nucleotides in length. The record is from RNAcentral. Lineage: Bacteria; Bacillati; Actinomycetota; Actinomycetes; Micrococcales; Microbacteriaceae.